GAUGAACGCUGGCGGCGUGCCUAAUACAUGCAAGUCGAGCGCAGGAAGCUGGCGGAACUCUUCGGAGGGAAGGCAGUGGAAUGAGCGGCGGACGGGUGAGUAACACGUAAGGAACCUGCCUCAAGGAUUGGGAUAACUCCGAGAAAUCGGAGCUAAUACCGGAUAGUUCAACGGACCGCAUGGUCCGCUGAUGAAAGGCGCUCCGGCGUCACCUUGAGAUGGCCUUGCGGUGCAUCAGCUAGUUGGUGGGGUAACGGCCCACCAAGGCGACGAUGCAUAGACGACCGGAGAGGGUGAUCGGCCACACUGGGACUGAGACACGGCCCAGACUCCUACGGGAGGCAGCAGUAGGGAAUCUUCCACAAUGGACGAAAGUCUGAUGGAGCAACGCCGCGUGAGUGAUGAAGGUUUUCGGAUCGUAAAACUCUGUUGUAAGGGAAGAACACGUACGAGAGGAAAUGCUCGUACCUUGACGGUACCUUACGAGAAAGCCACGGCUAACUACGUGCCAGCCGCCGCCGUAA
Molecule: ribosomal RNA, 524 nt
Filed under: uncultured bacterium
Lineage: Bacteria
Description: partial 16S ribosomal RNA
Rfam family: Bacterial small subunit ribosomal RNA
Source: RNAcentral